This 465-nucleotide ribosomal RNA is filed under the name uncultured Veillonella sp. RNAcentral describes it as "bacterial SSU rRNA". It matches the Rfam family "Bacterial small subunit ribosomal RNA", at positions 338 to 795 of the family's 1533-position model. Lineage: Bacteria; Bacillati; Bacillota; Negativicutes; Veillonellales; Veillonellaceae. The record is from RNAcentral.
CCUACGGGGGGCAGCAGUGGGGAAUCUUCCGCAAUGGACGAAAGUCUGACGGAGCAACGCCGCGUGAGUGAUGACGGCCUUCGGGUUGUAAAGCUCUGUUAAUCGGGACGAAAGGCCUUCUUGCGAAUAGUUAGAAGGAUUGACGGUACCGGAAUAGAAAGCCACGGCUAACUACGUGCCAGCAGCCGCGGUAAUACGUAGGUGGCAAGCGUUGUCCGGAAUUAUUGGGCGUAAAGCGCGCGCAGGCGGAUCAGUCAGUCUGUCUUAAAAGUUCGGGGCUUAACCCCGUGAUGGGAUGGAAACUGCUGAUCUAGAGUAUCGGAGAGGAAAGUGGAAUUCCUAGUGUAGCGGUGAAAUGCGUAGAUAUUAGGAAGAACACCAGUGGCGAAGGCGACUUUCUGGACGAAAACUGACGCUGAGGCGCGAAAGCCAGGGGAGCGAACGGGAUUAGAUACCCGGGUAGUC